Triticum dicoccoides is the source of this 814-nucleotide long non-coding RNA. RefSeq lists it as uncharacterized. The transcript is spliced from 3 exons. The record is from RefSeq and is a predicted model, not a curated record. NCBI's taxonomy places the organism in Eukaryota, Viridiplantae, Streptophyta, Magnoliopsida, Poales, Poaceae.
GACUACACGAAGGAGCAGCCGCUGCCGCCGCAGUCGGGACUUGCUUGCCGCCGCCUAGACUCUCCCUGGCCGCCGCUGCCUCAAAUCUCGCCGUCGUCUGGACUCGGCUACACUUCUCCGUCUGUCUGCCUUCACCACCAUGGGUAACAUACUCAGGGAGCCAUCGUCGCUCCUGCUGCUUCCUCUGGAUUGUCCUUGUUUGCGAUGCCCCACCUAUGUAUGUUUCCCCAAUCUAAUCUAUUUGCUUUCCUGUCUUUUCUCCUCUGGGUCUGUAGUUGUAGUAGCAAGAUCAGGGGCUGGGCGUGGACACCUCCGGCCACGAUAUAAAGUUGAUGCUGGUGAGAUCCAAAUUAGAUAAGAUCCACCACUCGCCUCACCACGAUCAAGGGCAAUUACUACAUCUCUAAUACUGGUUGGAAAUUAUUGAUGAGAGACUGAUGUUGCUGUGAUGAUAAGUGCCUAUGAUUUCUGUACUUUGCACUGAACCGACUGAAGCUGACAUUGAUUCUUGGCUGCAAGAAUUGGGAGUAUCUAAAGCACCAACGGUUGAAGGAGCUCAUCCGCCCACCGAGAGCAUUGCAGCUUUCCACAUGCCAUUGAUUAAUCCAUCUGCUUUAGUUGCAUCAGAUACUCCAUCCUUUAAUUGUUCUUUAAUUGCAUUGCUGAUGUCACUUUCAUAUAUGUAACUAAGUGAAAAUAGGGCUUUGUAAGGAUGUCACACUAUUAUUAGUUUGACAUAGUGUGACAUGUUUCAUUGAGAAGCUUUGUCAAGAUUAGUAUAGUGAUUACUUUCAUGGAAUGCCAUUUGUUUUCA